This 797-nucleotide ribosomal RNA is filed under the name Vibrio cholerae O1 biovar El Tor. RNAcentral describes it as "bacterial LSU rRNA". It matches the Rfam family "Bacterial large subunit ribosomal RNA", at positions 598 to 1400 of the family's 2925-position model. The record is from RNAcentral. Lineage: Bacteria; Pseudomonadati; Pseudomonadota; Gammaproteobacteria; Vibrionales; Vibrionaceae.
UGCGUACCUUUUGUAUAAUGGGUCAGCGACUUAUAUUCAGUGGCAAGGUUAACCGUAUAGGGGAGCCGUAGCGAAAGCGAGUCUUAACUGGGCGCUCAGUCUCUGGAUAUAGACCCGAAACCGGGUGAUCUAGCCAUGGGCAGGUUGAAGGUUGAGUAACAUCAACUGGAGGACCGAACCGACUAAUGUUGAAAAAUUAGCGGAUGACUUGUGGCUAGGGGUGAAAGGCCAAUCAAACUCGGAGAUAGCUGGUUCUCCCCGAAAGCUAUUUAGGUAGCGCCUCGGACGAAUACUACUGGGGGUAGAGCACUGUUAAGGCUAGGGGGUCAUCCCGACUUACCAACCUUUGCAAACUCCGAAUACCAGUAAGUACUAUCCGGGAGACACACGGCGGGUGCUAACGUCCGUCGUGGAGAGGGAAACAACCCAGACCGCCAGCUAAGGUCCCAAAGUAUUGCUAAGUGGGAAACGAUGUGGGAAGGCUCAGACAGCUAGGAUGUUGGCUUAGAAGCAGCCAUCAUUUAAAGAAAGCGUAAUAGCUCACUAGUCGAGUCGGCCUGCGCGGAAGAUGUAACGGGGCUAAGCAAUACACCGAAGCUGCGGCAAUGUCUUUUAGACAUUGGGUAGGGGAGCGUUCUGUAAGCCGUUGAAGGUGAAUCGUAAGGUUUGCUGGAGGUAUCAGAAGUGCGAAUGCUGACAUGAGUAACGACAAAGGGGGUGAAAAACCUCCUCGCCGGAAGACCAAGGGUUCCUGUCCAACGUUAAUCGGGGCAGGGUGAGUCGACCCCUAAGGUGAG